GAUGAACGCUGGCGGCGUGCCUAAUACAUGCAAGUCGAACGCUGGAGAUCUAGCUUGCUAGCUCGAAGGAGUGGCGAACGGGUGAGUAAUACAUAAGCAACCUACCCACGAAGACUGGGAUAAUCUCUGGAAACGGGGACUAAUACCGGAUAGGUAAUCGGAAGGCAUCUUCUGGUUAUUAAAGGUUAAAAACACUGGUGGAUGGGCUUAUGGCGCAUUAGUUAGUUGGUGAGGUAACGGCCCACCAAGACGAUGAUGCGUAGCCGGCCUGAGAGGGUGAACGGCCACAUUGGGACUGAGACACGGCCCAGACUCCUACGGGAGGCAGCAGUAGGGAAGUUUCGGCAAUGGGGGCAACCCUGACCGAGCAACGCCGCGUGAGUGAAGACGGCCUUCGGGUUGUAAAGCUCUGUUGUAAGGGAAGAACGGUAGAUAGAGAAUAUCUAAGUGACGGUACCUUAACAGAAAGCCACGGCUAACUACGUG
RNAcentral lists this ribosomal RNA (486 nucleotides) under uncultured bacterium. RNAcentral describes it as "partial 16S ribosomal RNA". It matches the Rfam family "Bacterial small subunit ribosomal RNA", at positions 28 to 507 of the family's 1533-position model. The record is from RNAcentral.